RNAcentral lists this transfer RNA (64 nucleotides) under Ictidomys tridecemlineatus (thirteen-lined ground squirrel). RNAcentral describes it as "Spermophilus tridecemlineatus (thirteen-lined ground squirrel) tRNA". It matches the Rfam family "tRNA". Rfam says of the family: Transfer RNA (tRNA) molecules are approximately 80 nucleotides in length. Their secondary structure includes four short double-helical elements and three loops (D, anti-codon, and T loops). Lineage: Eukaryota; Metazoa; Chordata; Mammalia; Rodentia; Sciuridae. The record is from Rfam by way of RNAcentral.
GGUGGCUCAGUGGUAGUGCGCUUGCCUUGCAAGCACGAGGCCCUGGGUUCGAUCCUCAGCACCA